GGUAGCAUAAUCAUUAGUUUUUUAAUUGAAAGCUGGAAUGAAAGGUUUGAUGAGAAAAUAACUGUCUCUAUGUAAAUGUUUUUGAACUUCAAUUUUAAGUGAAAAAGCUUAAAUUUUUUAUAAAGACGAGAAGACCCUAUAGAGUUUUAUAUUUGUGUAGAUUUAAUGGUUGUUGAAUUUAUUCUUUUAUUUUUACUUAAGUAUUUUGUUGGGGCGAUAGGGGAAUUUAAUAAACUUUCUUUUGUUUUUUACAUUGAUUUAUGAUUAUUUGAUCCUGAGUUUUGGAUUACAAGAUUAAAUUACCUUAGGGAUAACAGCGUAAUUUUUUUUGGAGAGUUCUUAUCGAUAAAAAAGUUUGCGACCUCGAUGUUGGAUUAAAAUUAAAUUUUGGUGUAGGAGCUAAAAUUUUAGGUCUGUUCGACCUUUGAAAUUUU
This 434-nucleotide ribosomal RNA is filed under the name Pimelia angulata. RNAcentral describes it as "partial large subunit ribosomal RNA". It matches the Rfam family "Bacterial large subunit ribosomal RNA", at positions 1955 to 2597 of the family's 2925-position model. The record is from RNAcentral. Lineage: Eukaryota; Metazoa; Arthropoda; Insecta; Coleoptera; Tenebrionidae.